GCUUAAUAUGUGAUGCAUUGUUGUAUAUAUGCAAUAAACAACAUAGGAUAAGCAUUGUUAAUCAUGUACUACUGCGGUCAAACAGAAAGCGUCCAAUAGCACUACUGCGAUCAAACAGAAAGCAUCCGAUAGCACUAUUAUACAUCUAAAAUGCGCAUUGUUAUAUUUCAAGUAACCUAAACUUUUGGAUCUCUUUGGACCUCAUAUUUCAAAUAUGAAAAUAGAAGCCAUCUUCAUAGCAAACUCUAGUUGCCGUUAUCCAUACAUCUUCAAAUCCACACCAUCUGACUGCAUUUAAGAUGUGGUCUUUUGCAUAAAUCAUCAACCCAUUCAUCUUAUUCCAUAUCCAUAAAAUCCUAAAAGGUCAUAACCAGUAUGAACCUUAGGUUUGUGGGGUUUUGGUUGCAUGAAGUUGUGGCUUCAUUAGUGAAAAAAGAAAAAUAAUUGUUGCUGACCCUUCAUUGAAAAGGUAUAUGAGCCUCUGUGGUAAUUGGUCAUGACUACAAAUGCCAUGAGCUUGAAGUACAACCAAAGAUAAGUGCCUUCUUAGCCUGCAUAGAAGCCCACAAAAAGUAGUUGCAAGAGCGGAGGCAUUUGUACUAAGAAACAGCCGAUGACAAUACAACAUGGAGUAUUAGUGGAUGGAAUGAUAUAGUUGAUGAACUCUACAGAACAAAACCUACCCAUGAUUCUAGCAGAUGGUGGCUUCGAUAUGUGGAUUGUCAAACUCCAUAAGAACCAGAACUAUUGUACAUACCUGCAUAAAUUAGCACUAAUAUUAAUGAGUAAAUCUAUACAAGGGUGUCUACUGCAAACCAAGUAAUUGACAAAAGAGCAAAGCUGAUGAGAAUAACAAGCAUCAAUGUAAAAAAAGAAGAAGGAAGAGCAUGUGAAGUAUCUGAAAUAUAUACCAAAUCUACACGACUACCUUAUGUCACAAAUAUAGCUAUACCAACUAAUGAAUUAAAAAUAAAAAUCAAUAAGAGAAAAUAAGGGAUACAUGCUAGUUAGUAUUGGAGUUAAGCUCCCAAUACUGUUGUGGAGAAUUGGUGUUGUUUAGGACACUAUAAUUUUCUUCAAUGGUCCCCUGUAAGUGUGAACAAAAAAAAAUCAAAACCUUAUUGGCAGUGUUCAACAUCACUCAUAAGAUUAGACAAAAAAGUGAUUGCAUUAUGGAUAUAACAAAUCAUGCCUAUAAGUAUAGACAUUUGAUAAUUAUUCCAUGAAAGAAUUACAAGAUAAGAGGAGGAGGAAUACUAGAAAGUUUCUUAACCCCUGGUAAGGAAACUUAGAAUAGGUAUGCAGCUUCACGAAUAACCAAUAUCCACAACACCAACAGAUGGACCAAAUAACCAUCAUUUGGCAAUCUAUUAAAGCUGAGAAUGAACUUUGGGAACCUGACCAAACAAGCAGACCAAAGAUCAGGUAGGGCAGAUAUUUUCCUUUGCAAGCAGUUACAUUUUAAGGCGU
RNAcentral lists this long non-coding RNA (1470 nucleotides) under Lupinus angustifolius (narrow-leaved blue lupine). RNAcentral describes it as "long non-coding RNA (LANG_LNC001704)". The record is from RNAcentral. Lineage: Eukaryota; Viridiplantae; Streptophyta; Magnoliopsida; Fabales; Fabaceae.